AGAGGAUUACAGUGGCAGUAUCAUAGACAAUGAGGUUUAUACAAGGCACGAUUAUUGCUAAUUGAAAACUUUUCCCAAUACCCCUCCAUGACAAUUUGCAGUACAGUUAGCAUUGGCAAUUUUUUUUUUUUUUUGAGAUAA
Molecule: small nuclear RNA, 141 nt
Organism: Nycticebus coucang (slow loris)
Lineage: Eukaryota; Metazoa; Chordata; Mammalia; Primates; Lorisidae
Product: U4 spliceosomal RNA
Exons: 1
Source: RefSeq, a predicted model, not a curated record